Molecule: long non-coding RNA, 3069 nt
Filed under: Homo sapiens (human)
Lineage: Eukaryota; Metazoa; Chordata; Mammalia; Primates; Hominidae
Description: HSALNT0340430
Source: RNAcentral
AACGGCAAGCUGGCUGCAACGAAGCCGCCCACGUAGGCCUCCCCGGCCUGCUGGAGGAGAGGGGAUCCCCCGGGGCAGAGGCGGCUACACCCGGAGAACCCGGAAACCGGAAGCGCAGAUCCUGCCGGCUCUGGACUAGCCGCUCAGCACCAGGGCGGAAGGAAGACGAGGCGAGGCAAGCGCCAAGCUUCCAUCCGGACUUCAAGGCCAGUGGCUGGGUCUGGUUUUCUCAACACGGCCUCCUAGUCUCCUUCCCGCUUGGGCAUCUGUUUUUCUUAUAUAGACCCUGAAGCCGCCCGUGAUGUUCUGUAAGCAGGUUCCGCUUCAGAAUCAGAGGUACUUAAGAGGGAACCUGGAUGCUAGACCUGCCCUUGCUGCUGGCCUCAGUUUCUUUACCUGUAAAACAGGGAUUUUGGAACUGUUAAAUUAAAUCAAACUUAAAAGAAUUACAACUUAAAGCUGCUGGAACUUUACAUGAUCCCGAGCCUUGAGAGGAAUGUGGCUAUGCAGCCUGAGUCAUGUGGCAUGCAGAUGCAACCUCUGCCUUUUUCCGCUGUAAAUAAUUAAGAAGACCAAGUAGCAUCCAAGAGUCACCUAAGCUGAAGAUUCCCUUGAGAACAAGUACUGUCCUGUGGUUUCAUGGCCUUUCUUCCAUUUGUGGUUCUUGCCAAGCGGAAUUUAAAUGACAUCUUAUCAAGAUGGAUAAACCCUAGUUUCCCAGUGCUGGAAUAUAGAAAAUGGAUGGACAAGUAAAUCCCACUCAGCACCCAUAGCCCAGGCAUGGGGACCUCAACACAUUUGAGCCGCAGAGAUCACCUUUCAUUGUGAAUAGCUCUGAGAUGAUACUUCUGGUUGAAUGUCUUUUUGUCACUUCCGGCUGGAUCUACCAUGAAAGAUUUCUGAAUCCAGGAAGAGAGAUUGACUGGGCAACAUGUUAUUCAGAAACAGGACCUUGCCCUGUCACUCAGGAUGGAGUUCAGUGGUCCAAUCAUGGCUCAUUGUAGCCUCAAACUCCCAGGCUCAAGCAAUCCUACCACGUCAGUCUUCCCAGUAGCUGACAGGGUCUCACUCUGUCGCCCAGGCUGGAGUGCAGUGGCAUGAUCUUGGCUCACUGUAGUGUAGACUUCCCAGCCUCAAGGGAUCCUCCCACCCCAGACUCCCAAGUAGCUGGAAUUACAGGUAUGCACCACCACCACACCUGGCUAAUAUUUUUCUUUUUUUUGGUAGACAUAUAGUCUCACUAUGUUGCGCUGACAGGUCUCCAACUCCUGGCCUCAAGUGAUCCUCCUGCCUAGGCUUCCCAAAUUGCUGGGAUUACAGGCAUGAGCCACAGUGCCUGGCCUCUGCUAGUUCUGUAUUCUCUAGAGUUGUCUUUACUUUGUGCUAGUGUGUCCCUCAUUAUGCUGAUCCUCUGCUAAAAUUAAUACUUUUUUUUUGAGAUGGAGUUUCACUCUUGUUGCCCAGGCUGGAUUGCCCAGGCUAGAGUGCAAUGGCACUAUCUUGGCUCACCGCAACCUCCACCUGCCGGGUUCAAGCGAUUCUCCUGCCUCAGCCUUCCGAGUAGCUGGGAGUAGCAUGUGCCACCAUGCCUAGCUAAUUUUGUAUUUUUAGUAGAGAUGGGGUUUCUCCAUGUUGGUCAGGCUGGUCUUGAACUCCUGACCUCAGGUGAUCCGCCUGCCUUGGCCUCCCAAAGUGCUGGGAUUACAGGCAUGAGCCAUGGUGCCUGGCCAAAAUUAAUACUUUCUAUAUUAAAUUUACAUAUAUAUAUUUUUUUUCUUUUUGAUACCAGGUCUCAUGCUCUCACUCAGGCUGCAGUACAGUGGCACAACCUCUACUCACUGCAGCCUCUACCUGCCAGGCUCAAGCAAUUCUCCUGACUUAGCCUCCCGAGUAGCUGGGAUUACAGGUAAGUGCCACCACACCAAGCUAAAUUUUGUGUUUUUUGUAGAGAUGGGGUUUCGCCAUGUUUCCCAGACUGGUCUCAAACUCCUGAGCUCAAAGCAAUUCACCCGCCUUGGCCUCCCAAAGUGCUGGGAUUACAGGUGUGAGCCACCUUGCUCAUUCUAGUUUAAACUUUUGAGUGGUUUGUGUCUCCUGAUUGGACUCCUACAAAUACAGAAUUGAUGGUAGGAAGGGUACCAGGAGAUAGACCCACACAGAUGGGAUUUGGGAAUAGGUUUGGUUAUCCAAGGAGCAGUGCUGAGCUCCUUGCUAAUGGGAUAUGGGAGGCUGGUGAUUUCCAGGAAGUGACCUCACAAUGACUCAAGCUACCACAUACUGUUCAUUGUGAAAUGCCAGUUGAAGCAUAUGUCCUGUGAGCUUAGGGGUGCUACAAGUUGACCACUGCAGCAGUAAAGAUGAUUCUGAAGAAUGGCAUGGGAUGGAUCCUUUCGAAUGCACUUGAGCAGCGGUCUCCAACCACAGGGCCACAGAGCUGGAGCUGGAUCUACCAUGAAAGACUUCUGAAUCCAGGAAGAGAGACUGACUGGGCAACAUGUUAUUCAGGAGAUGGGGUCUCACCCUGUCGCCCAGGCUUGAGUACAGUAGUGCUAUCACAGCUCACUGCAGCCUUGAACUCCUGGGCUAAGGAUCCUCCUACCUGAGCCUCCUGAGUAGCUGGGACUGUAGGGUCUCCCUCUGUUGUCCAAGGCUGGAGUGUAGUAGUGCUAUCACAGCUGACUGCAGCCUCAACCUUCCAGGCUGAAGCGAUCCUCCCAUCUCAACCUCCCACGUGGCUGAGACUACAGGCGCUUGCCACUAUGCCCAACUAAUAUUUGGAAUUUUCCUAUACGUGGAUUCCAGAGGGGUGACAGCGAAACGUGGGACCAUCCAGUUGCAGGAAAACGAGCUUAACACGCCCACUGAUUCUACAUUAUGCUCCUACCUCCCGGCAGCCUCUCCAGGCCCAGAACUUUCUCCAGUCGGCCUCCACAGACCAAGCUCAUGACUCACAAUGGCCUAUUUAGGCCCAUACCCUACCUCACGGCAGUCUCCGCAGAUGAGGCUACUGCCUCACAACAGCCUCCACAGGCACAGCUCCAUCGUUACAAUGGCCUCUUUAGACCCAGC